CCUACGGGAGGCAGCAGUGAGGAAUAUUGGACAAUGGGCGCAAGCCUGAUCCAGCCAUGCCGCGUGCAGGAUGACGGUCCUAUGGAUUGUAAACUGCUUUUGUACAGGAAGAAACCCUUUCACGUGUGAGAGAUUGACGGUACUGUAAGAAUAAGGAUCGGCUAACUCCGUGCCAGCAGCCGCGGUAAUACGGAGGAUCCAAGCGUUAUCCGGAAUCAUUGGGUUUAAAGGGUCCGUAGGCGGCCAGAUAAGUCAGUGGUGAAAGCCCAUCGCUCAACGGUGGAACGGCCAUUGAUACUGUCUGGCUUGAAUUACAAGGAAGUAACUAGAAUAUGUAGUGUAGCGGUGAAAUGCUUAGAGAUUACAUGGAAUACCAAUUGCGAAGGCAGGUUACUACUUGUGGAUUGACGCUGAUGGACGAAAUGCGUGGGUAGCGAACAGGAUUAGAUACCCUGGUAGUCCACGCCGUAAACGAUGGAUACUAGCUGUUGGAGUAUCUCAGG
Molecule: ribosomal RNA, 503 nt
Filed under: uncultured Flavobacterium sp.
Lineage: Bacteria; Pseudomonadati; Bacteroidota; Flavobacteriia; Flavobacteriales; Flavobacteriaceae
Description: bacterial SSU rRNA
Rfam family: Bacterial small subunit ribosomal RNA
Source: RNAcentral